Molecule: transfer RNA, 89 nt
Filed under: Gossypium hirsutum var. marie-galante
Lineage: Eukaryota; Viridiplantae; Streptophyta; Magnoliopsida; Malvales; Malvaceae
Description: tRNA-Lys
Rfam family: tRNA (bases 18-88)
About the family: Transfer RNA (tRNA) molecules are approximately 80 nucleotides in length. Their secondary structure includes four short double-helical elements and three loops (D, anti-codon, and T loops).
Source: RNAcentral
GGGUUGCUAACUCAACGGGUUGCGUAACUCAACGGUAGAGUACUCGGCUUUUAACCGACUAGUUCCGGGUUCGAGUCCCGGGCAACCCA